This 75-nucleotide transfer RNA is filed under the name Acidobacteriota bacterium. RNAcentral's name for it is "Acidobacteria bacterium tRNA-Arg". It matches the Rfam family "tRNA". Rfam says of the family: Transfer RNA (tRNA) molecules are approximately 80 nucleotides in length. Their secondary structure includes four short double-helical elements and three loops (D, anti-codon, and T loops). Lineage: Bacteria; Pseudomonadati; Acidobacteriota. The record is from RNAcentral. RNAcentral also lists the same sequence under 1 other name.
GCGGGCGUCGUUCAAAGGACAGAACACUUCGGUCCUAACGAAGAAAUGCCGGUUCGAUUCCGGCCGCCCACUCCA